CGGGGUGGAGUAAUGUCUGGGAAACGUGCCUGAUGGAGGGGGAUAACUACUGGAAACGGUAGCUAAUACCGCAUAACGUCGCAAGACCAAAGAGGGGGACCGUUCGGGCCUCUUGCCAUCGGAUGUGCCCAGAUGGGAUUAGCUAGUAGGUGGGGUAACGGCUCACCUAGGCGACGAUCCCUAGCUGGUCUGAGAGGAUGACCAGCCACACUGGAACUGAGACACGGUCCAG
This 232-nucleotide ribosomal RNA is filed under the name uncultured bacterium. RNAcentral describes it as "partial 16S ribosomal RNA". It matches the Rfam family "Bacterial small subunit ribosomal RNA", at positions 104 to 334 of the family's 1533-position model. The record is from RNAcentral.